GGAAGGAAGGCAAGGCAGUGUAAUAUUUAGGGAGAAAGGAAAGCGGUGAAGUGUAGUGGAAAGGGAACGUGUCGAAGGAAUUGGUUUAAAGCGGCACUUGGAUCAAUCCAUUGGCGCGAUUGCCCCUUCCGCAUGCUUAUUGCUUUGGUAGCUUUUGAGGGUUUGGAAAUGUUUGAGAGUGAAAGUGAAGAAUUCUGAGUUGGUCGAAGCUGGUUGUUGAUCAAGUAUUCGAAGAGUUCAAGCUUCGCCAAACUGCAUCGUUGUAUUGAGCUGCUGAAAUUAAUCCAAUGAUAUUGACUAGCAGUGAACCUAGAUUAAACUUGGUGGAAAUCGCUAUAAACUCGAGCAUUCUCUCUUUCUCAUCUGUUUAUCUUUGCUCUGUUCUUGAUAUCUGAUUACUUCAUAAUAGUUUGGUUAUAAGAGCUGUUUAUUCCUUCUA
Long non-coding RNA from Cucumis melo (muskmelon), 439 nucleotides. RefSeq lists it as uncharacterized. Lineage: Eukaryota; Viridiplantae; Streptophyta; Magnoliopsida; Cucurbitales; Cucurbitaceae. The record is from RefSeq and is a predicted model, not a curated record. The transcript is spliced from 2 exons.